GAUGAACGCUGGCGGCGUGCCUAAUACAUGCAAGUCGAGCGAACGGACGAGAAGCUUGCUUCUCUGAUGUUAGCGGCGGACGGGUGAGUAACACGUGGAUAACCUACCUAUAAGACUGGUAUAACUUCGGGAAACCGGAGCUAAUACCGGAUAAUAUUUUGAACCGCAUGGUUCAAUAGUGAAAUACGGUCUUUCUGUCACUUAUAGAUGGAUCCGCGCUGCAUUAGCUAGUUGGUAAGGUCACGGCCUACCAAGGCAACUAUGCAUAGCCGAACUGGGAGAGGGGUAGGCCGCACUGGAAGUUGACCAGCGUCCAGGCUCCUGAGGGACGGCCCAGACGGGAAUGUUACGCAACAGGGGGAAACAUGACAGAGCAAGCCCACGUGAGUUGCGGAAGCCCUGCGUUCGUAAAACCCUCUUACUAGGGGAGAACAUAUGUGUCAGUAAAUGUGCCCAUAUUGACGGUACCUAAUCAGAAAGCAACGGCUAACUACGUG
RNAcentral lists this ribosomal RNA (497 nucleotides) under uncultured bacterium. RNAcentral describes it as "partial 16S ribosomal RNA". It matches the Rfam family "Bacterial small subunit ribosomal RNA", at positions 28 to 507 of the family's 1533-position model. The record is from RNAcentral.